RNAcentral lists this ribosomal RNA (497 nucleotides) under uncultured bacterium. RNAcentral's name for it is "partial 16S ribosomal RNA". It matches the Rfam family "Bacterial small subunit ribosomal RNA", at positions 28 to 507 of the family's 1533-position model. The record is from RNAcentral.
GAUGAACGCUGGCGGCGUGCCUAAUACAUGCAAGUCGAGCGAACGGACGAGAAGCUUGCUUUUCUGAUGUUAGCGGCGGACGGGUGAGUAACACGUGGAUAACCUACCUAUAAGACUGGGAUAACUUCGGGAAACCGGAGCUAAUACCGGAUAAUAUUUUGAACCGCAUGGUUCAAAAGUGAAAGACGGUCUUGCUGUCACUUAUAGAUGGAUCCGCGCUGCAUUAGCUAGUUGGUAAGGUAACGGCUUACCAAGGCAACGAUGCAUAGCCGACCUGAGAGGGUGAUCGGCCACCCUGGAACGGAGACACGGCCCAGACGCCUACGGGAGGCAGCAGUAGGGAAUCUUCCGCAAUGGGCGAAAGCCUGACGGAGCAACGCCGCGUGAGUGAUGAGGGUCUUCGGAUCGUAAACCUCUGUUAUUAGGGAAGAACAUAUGUGUAAGUAACUGUGCUCAUCUUGACGGUACCUAAUCAGAAAGCCACGGCUAACUACGUG